AACGAACGCUGGCGGCAUGCCUAACACAUGCAAGUCGAACGAGAAAGUUCUUCGGAACGAGUAAAGUGGCGCACGGGUGCGUAACACGUAGGUGACCUACCGUUUGGAAGGGGAUAACUCGAAGAAAUUCGAGCUAAUACCGUAUAAGGACUUAUUCCUGAAGGUUUAAGUCGAAAGGAGGCCUCUCCUUGGAAGCUUCCACCGAACGAUGGGCCUGCGGGACAUUAGCUUGAUGGUGGGGUAAUGGCCUACCAUGGCAACGAUGUCUAGCUGGUCUGAGAGGAUGAUCAGCCACACUGGGACUGAGACACGGCCCAG
Molecule: ribosomal RNA, 318 nt
Filed under: uncultured bacterium
Lineage: Bacteria
Description: bacterial SSU rRNA
Rfam family: Bacterial small subunit ribosomal RNA
Source: RNAcentral